AACUUGUUGCAACGUAUCACUUGGCUCUCCUGUCGAUUAAGAACGCAGCGAAAUGCGAUAAGUAAUGUUAAUUGCAGAAUUCAGUGAAUCAUCGAAUCUUUGAACGCACCUUGCGCCCUUUGGUAUUCCGAAGGGCAUGCCUGUUUGAGUGUCAUUAAAUUAUCAACCUUGCUCGCGUUUACCGGCUUGAGUUAGGCUUGGAUGUGAGGGCUUUUGCUGGCUUCCUUUAGUGGAUGGUCUGCUCCCUUUAAAUGCAUUAGUGGGAUCUCUUGUGGACCGUCACUUGGUGUGAUAAUUAUCUAUGCCUUUUGACUUUGAAGCAAACUAAUGGGAACCUGCUUAUAACCGUCUUCGGACAAUCUAUUGACAUUUUGACCUCAAAUCAGGUAGGACUACCCGCUGAACUUAAGCAUAUCAAUAAGCGGAGGCU
RNAcentral lists this unclassified non-coding RNA (430 nucleotides) under uncultured Mycena. RNAcentral describes it as "sequence contains ITS2". The stretch from base 1 to 154 matches the Rfam family "5.8S ribosomal RNA". The record is from RNAcentral. Lineage: Eukaryota; Fungi; Basidiomycota; Agaricomycetes; Agaricales; Tricholomataceae.